This 1028-nucleotide long non-coding RNA is filed under the name Salmo salar (Atlantic salmon). Its description in RNAcentral is "lncRNA (ENSSSAG00000103652.1, ENSSSAG00000121962.1)". Lineage: Eukaryota; Metazoa; Chordata; Actinopteri; Salmoniformes; Salmonidae. The record is from RNAcentral.
CAUCGCAGUCAUUGUUGUUUUUGUUACCAAUAAUAACUUUGGAAAUGUGUGCGUUUCUAUCAAACUCCAAGGCAUAGCGAUUGGUCUCCUCUACUAUGUCUCCCACCAGCUCCUCUGUCAGAAACAACUUGAAGCACUCUGCCUCAGGUGGAAAUGGCAAGGGGUGUUGCACUCCAGACUGGGACUCAUCAAAGCAAAGAGCAAGGCCAGGAGGGGUGAAAUGGCUGUCAGCCUUCCAGCUACCACAGAACUCCUGUACUUCAUCCACUGUCGGUCUGCCUCCAUCACCACCAGCAUCUUCAAAGGUACCUGGGACUUCGUCAGUGGACAAGGAGUCCUCAGAUUCAGGGUUCUCAAUGGCUACAAGCACAUAACAGGAACUGGCCCAACCACAAGCCUGCGGGGGCCCCAUCUCGUGAUAACAGCAACAGUGUCUGGCAUGCCCGACCCUGUGAAAACAGGAACAGGAACACGCACACACACAUAAGCCAUAGCUUAUCCAAGGCACACACACCCUUAUUUAGAGCUUUGAUAGAAACCUAACAUCAUCAGAACAUUGGACCUGAGCCAACCAGAGGAUCGGGACUUCAAGACUCAACCUACUUUCUGUGUUGUAUAAAACAUGUAAACAAACUGUUUUAGGCACUCUCUUCCGCUGGCUCCCUCAGAGCUACUGGAACGAGUCCGUGCACACUGUACCAAAUAUCUUCACUCUGAAUAAACUAUCGCUUGUCAUAUAAUUUAGCGCCUUGUCCGAAUCAGUCCUUGACCGACUCUCCCUUCUUCUCAUUCCAUUUACCAACAAUACUCAGACUUAUUGUCAGAACUUUUUUUAAAUCUCAAGAAUUUCCGCAUUUGUGAGCUGUCUCCUUUUGAAAGACAUUGCUAAUGCUACAGCUUAGCUCACUAGCUACAUACAUAAACAACAACACUGAUUGGCUCGAAGUGGGAGUGAGAGGUUACGUGAUUGACUGCCGACAUGCGCCACUUGUAUCAAUAAAUCCCUAUCAGAAAAUGUUGUGCGUGGU